Molecule: ribosomal RNA, 460 nt
Filed under: uncultured bacterium
Lineage: Bacteria
Description: partial 16S ribosomal RNA
Rfam family: Bacterial small subunit ribosomal RNA
Source: RNAcentral
CCUACGGGUGGCAGCAGUGAGGAAUAUUGGUCAAUGGGCUUACGCCUGAACCAGCCAAGUCGCGUGAGGGAAGACUGCCCUAUGGGUUGUAAACCUCUUUUGUCAGGGAGCAACGCCGGCUACGUGUAGCCGGACUGAGAGUACCUGAAGAAAAAGCAUCGGCUAACUCCGUGUCAGCAGCCGCGGUAAUACGGAGUAUGCGAGCGUUAUCCGGAUUUAUUGGGUUUAAAGGGUGCGUAGGCGGAAUGCCAAGUCAGCGGUAAAAUCGCGGGGCUCAACCUCGCUCCGCCGUUGAAACUGGCGUUCUUGAGUGGGCGAGAAGUAUGCGGAAUGCGUGGUGUAGCGGUGAAAUGCAUAGAUAUCACGCAGAACUCCGAUUGUGAAGGCAGCUUACCAAACUAUAUCUGACGUUGAGGCACGAAAGCGUGGGUAGCAAACAGGAUUAGAUACCCGGGUAGUC